This 257-nucleotide non-coding RNA is filed under the name Ricinus communis (castor bean). RNAcentral's name for it is "Bacterial small subunit ribosomal RNA". It matches the Rfam family "Bacterial small subunit ribosomal RNA", at positions 946 to 1206 of the family's 1533-position model. The record is from Rfam by way of RNAcentral. Lineage: Eukaryota; Viridiplantae; Streptophyta; Magnoliopsida; Malpighiales; Euphorbiaceae.
UUAAUUCGAUGCAAAGCGAAAAACCUUACCAGGGCUUGACAUGCCGUGAAUCCUCUUAAAAGAGAGGGGUGCCUUUGGGAACACAGACAAGUGGUGCAUGGUUGUUGUCAGCUCGUGCCAUAAGGUGUUGGGUUAAGUCCCGCAACGAGUGCAACCCUCGCGUUUAAUUGCCACUAUUGAGUUUGGAACACUGAGCAGACUACUGGUCAUAAGUUGGAGGAAGGUGUCUUGCUAGUAGAGUGCUUUCGCUGUUGGUG